Molecule: ribosomal RNA, 496 nt
Filed under: uncultured bacterium
Lineage: Bacteria
Description: partial 16S ribosomal RNA
Rfam family: Bacterial small subunit ribosomal RNA
Source: RNAcentral
AUGAACGCUGGCGGCGUGCCUAAUACAUGCCAGUCGAGCGAACAGAUGAGGAGCUUGCUCCUCUAACGUUAGCGGCGGACGGGUGAGUAACACGUGGAUAACCUACCUAUAAGACUGGGAUAACUUCGGGAAACCGGAGCUAAUACCGGAUAAUAUAUUUAACCGCAUGUUUCAAUAGUGAAAGACGGUUUUGCUGUCACUUAUAGAUGGAUCCUCGCCGCAUUAGCUAGUUGGUAAGGUAACGGCUUACCAAGGCAACGAUGCGUAGCCGACCUGAGAGGGUGAUCGGCCACACUGGAACUGAGACACGGUCCAGACUCCUACGGGAGGCAGCAGUAGGGAAUCUUCCGCAAUGGGCGAAAGCCUGACGGAGCAACGCCGCGUGAGUGAUGAAGGUCUUCGGAUCGUAAAACUCUGUUAUUAGGGAAGAACAAAUGUGUAAGUAACUAUGCACGUCUUGACGGUACCUAAUCAGAAAGCCACGGCUAACUACGUG